CAUUGGCAGAGAUGAAACAGACUGACAGAGUUGAGGCAUCUCGAGUGUGAGACCUGUAACCUCACUCCUCUCAGCUGCGGUCUGUUGCUGCAUUGCCUGAGACUUCUGGCUGUCUGCUGAGGAGAGCAUGUGGCCAACAGCUAGGGCAAGAUGAAGCUUUCUCUGGUGGCCGUGGUUCUGCUG
This 183-nucleotide non-coding RNA is filed under the name Ictidomys tridecemlineatus (thirteen-lined ground squirrel). Its description in RNAcentral is "Spermophilus tridecemlineatus (thirteen-lined ground squirrel) bip internal ribosome entry site (IRES)". It matches the Rfam family "bip internal ribosome entry site (IRES)". From Rfam's summary of the family: This family represents the bip internal ribosome entry site (IRES). BiP protein expression has been found to be significantly enhanced by the heat shock response due to IRES-dependent translation. Lineage: Eukaryota; Metazoa; Chordata; Mammalia; Rodentia; Sciuridae. The record is from Rfam by way of RNAcentral.